Molecule: ribosomal RNA, 253 nt
Filed under: uncultured bacterium
Lineage: Bacteria
Description: partial 16S ribosomal RNA
Rfam family: Bacterial small subunit ribosomal RNA
Source: RNAcentral
UACGUAGGUGGCAAGCGUUGUCCGGAUUUAUUGGGUUUAAAGGGUGCGUAGGCGGCUUUGUAAGUCAGUGGUGAAAUAUGGCAGCUUAACUGUCAAGGUGCCAUUGAUACUGCAGAGCUUGAGUACAGAUGAGGUAGGCGGAAUUGACGGUGUAGCGGUGAAAUGCGCAGAUAUCGGGAAGAACACCCGUGGCGAAGGCGGCUCUCUGGGACGGUACUGACGCUGAGACGCGAAAGCGUGGGGAGCGAACAGG